GAAAGUAGAAGAUCUAAUUAAGAUAAAAUUUUAAUGUAACAGUUAUUAUUUAAUUUAGUUCUAAUUAGGGGUGAAAUGCCUUCAAUUCUAAUAUAUCUGGAUUUAAAUUAAAUAUAUUUAGUAUAGGACUAAAGGUCUCAGAUUUAAAAUGUUAAGAUUUUAAAAUGUUAUUAAAUAAAUAGAUUUUUUUUAAGAAAACUUAUAAGUGUUAAACCUCUUAUAGAAAAUUAUUAAAUAAUUACUUUUAAGGUCAUUAAUAAAAAUUAAUUUAAUAGUUCUAAUAAAUGUCUCAUUUAACUAAAUAAUGUUUAGAUUAGUAUAAUUUAUUAAAUUUUUGAAAGAAACUCGGCAAAGGAAUUCUUCAACUGUUUAACAAAAACAUAGCUUAGUGACGCCAAUAUAACAAUGCUAAGUAAUUUCUGCCCAGUGAUUCUUUUAACGGCCGCAGUACCUUAACUGUGCUAAGGUAGCAUAAUAAAUUGGCUUUUAAUUGGAGUCUAGUAUGAACGAAAGAAUGGGGAAUAACUGUCUCCUUUUAAUUUAUUUUAAUUUAUUAAUAAGGUGAAAAUACCUUAAUACUACUAAAUAGACAAGAAGACCCUUAGAAUUUUAAUUAUAUAGGUAUAAAUUACCUAUUCAUUUUUGUUGGGGCGACAAGGUAACAAAGAACUUACCUUAAAAUUGCAAACUAGGCAUUAAUUAAUAGUAAGAUAAAAUUACCUAAGGGAUAACAGCAUAAUAUUUUUUUGAUUGUGACCUCGAUGUUGGAUUAGGGAAGAUAAUAGCUAGUAGUUAUUAUUCUUGGUUCUGUUCGAACUUAUUAUACCUACAUGAUCUGAGUUCAGACCGGUGUAAGCCAGGUCAG
Molecule: ribosomal RNA, 865 nt
Filed under: Afrorhytida knysnaensis
Lineage: Eukaryota; Metazoa; Mollusca; Gastropoda; Stylommatophora; Rhytididae
Description: partial 16S ribosomal RNA
Rfam family: Eukaryotic large subunit ribosomal RNA (bases 328-865)
Source: RNAcentral